This 1734-nucleotide long non-coding RNA is filed under the name Sus scrofa (pig). RNAcentral describes it as "lncRNA (ENSSSCG00000042153.1)". The record is from RNAcentral. Lineage: Eukaryota; Metazoa; Chordata; Mammalia; Artiodactyla; Suidae.
GUAUUUCCUAAGACUUCUCUACCUUGCUGAGCCCUGAACCCCAAAUUCUACCUGCUCAGUGUUAGAUGACUGCCAAAAAUCUCAGCUCAGCUACUUAGCUUCCCAAUUGCUGCUGUCCACUAUUUUCUUCAGAGAUUUGGUUUACUUUAUCUCACAUGAGCACUAGGAUUUGGAGGAUGCCUAGGGGAAAUUUUCACAUAGAAUUUCAGACUCAUUUUUCCAAGAUUCCCUUCUUUCAAGGACUCUGGGUCUUCAUUUCCUUGCUCUCUUGGUAGCCUCAACCUCCAACAUCUGUUUCCUCACCUAAUUAGAAUGUCAAAACCCCAGGCUGCCUCUGCCUGCUAGGCUUCUCUAUUCCCCAAUCUAUAUAAUAGGAAAUGAUCAAAGGGAAGAUGUGUAAGUGUGGGCUUUCUCCAGCACCAUUUCUCUUGGAGCUGUUGGCCCUUCAAGUCUUGGCACACUUGGUUGCACCCCAGUAUCUUCAAACUAUUGUUUUGUCCAACUUUUAUAAUUUGUUUUGGCAGGAGAGUUAAUUUGCUACAAAUCAUUCCAUAAUGCCGAAAGAAGUUCUAAUAAUCAGGCAAACUUCCAGAUCCACUACUUGUAACCAGUAGACACUCAAAUACCCUUAGAUACUCUUUCUUUAGAUCACAUAUGGGCUGAACUCCUUAUUAUGCCUGCCUGUUUCUAUACCACUCCAACAUAUUCAAAACUUCCAGAACAGAGACUCACAACUGGAUGCUAGUUUAGAUGAACUUCCAGCCAUAAUGGGGUUGAAAGGAGAGACUUGCUUAUCAUAUCUUACUUAUCUUCUUUCUGCUGGUGGAUAUCAUGAUGCUUCCUGCCUUACUAAUAACCACACCACAUUGGUAAACUGUUCUGAAUCCAAAUAGCCUAUCUAUCAUCUAUUUUGUGCAGUGGGAAACUGCGUUCUACGGAUUUUUCAGAAAUGUCUUAAUUUGUUAACAUUGCCACCACCAUCAUCAUCAUCCUCCUCACUGAAAAUAUGUGGACACCUCAAAUAGCUUUUUCUAGAAGUUACUCAGAAGGAAGUCUCCAUUUGACCUCAUCUAAUCAGGAAGGAUCUGGGCCUGCUCUGGCAAUGGAAAUAGAAUGUUGCAACAUAAGAUUAAUUUUAAUUCUGGCCUUUUCAAUUUUGGCAAACGCAAAUGUCCCCACCCUAUGACUUGUAGAAAGCAGAGGCCCAAAAGGGGAGGCUUCAAACUUACACCCAAUCCAUAAGUGGUUAAAAAAAAUGAAGGGCUCUGAAACACUUUUGAUUACCAGAAAAAUAAUAAAGAAUGAAAUCUACAAUGUUAUAUUAAGAAACUUUCAGUUGAUGCCUAGGACUUGAUAAAUGGAUUCCCCUUUAGUUUUCACUUUAAAAAGUGAUUUCCUAUGACAAUAAUAAAUGGGUACUAAGGUACACUUUCUUCUUUAAAGCUAUAUAAUUUUUCAAUAAUACAUUUACCAAGUAUUCAAUUAUCAUAACUUUUUUAAACUUAUCAUGCAGAGUCUGCUACAUAAAAAGGAUGGACCCGAUGUUGUGUCUGUGAGGAUACAGGUUCCAUCCCUGGCUUCACUUAGUGGGUUAAGGAUCCAGCCUUGCUGCAAGCUGUGGGGUAGGUCCCAGAUGUGGCUCAGAUCUGGUGUUGCUGUGGUUGUGGCAUAGGCUGUAGCUGCAGCUCUGAUUUGAUCCCUAGCCUAGGAACUUCCAUAUGCCACAGGUGCGAC